Molecule: ribosomal RNA, 3971 nt
Organism: Drosophila biarmipes
Lineage: Eukaryota; Metazoa; Arthropoda; Insecta; Diptera; Drosophilidae
Source: RefSeq, a predicted model, not a curated record
CAACCUCAACUCAUAUGGGACUACCCCCUGAAUUUAAGCAUAUUAAUUAGGGGAGGAAAAGAAACUAACAAGGAUUUUCUUAGUAGCGGCGAGCGAAAAGAAAUCAGUUCAGCACUAAGUCACUUUGUCUAUAUGGCAAAUGUGGGAUGCAGUGUAUGGAGCGUCAAUAUUCUAGUAUGAGAAAUUAACGAUUUAAGUCCUUCUUAAAUGAGGCCAUUUACCCAUAGAGGGUGCCAGGCCCGUAUAACGUUAAUGAUUACUAGAUGAUGUUUCCAAAGAGUCGUGUUGCUUGAUAGUGCAGCACUAAGUGGGUGGUAAACUCCAUCUAAAACUAAAUAUAACCAUGAGACCGAUAGUAAACAAGUACCGUGAGGGAAAGUUGAAAAGAACUCUGAAUAGAGAGUUAAACAGUACGUGAAACUGCUUAGAGGUUAAGCCCGAUGAACCUGAAUAUCCGUUAUGGAAAAUUCAUCAUUAGAAUUGUAAUAUUUAAACAAUAUUAUGAUAAUAGUGUGCAUUUUUUCCAUAUAAGGACAUUGUAAUCUAUUAGCAUACCAAAUUUAUCAUAAAAUAUAACUUAUAGUUUAUUCAAAUUAAUUUGCUUGCAUUUUAACACAGAAUAAAUGUUAUUAAUUUGAUAAAGUGCUGAUAGAUUUAUAUGAAUACAGUGCGUUAAUUUUUCGGAAUUAUAUAAUGGCAUAAUUAUCAUUGAUUUUUGUGUUUAUUAUAUGCACUUGUAGGAUUAACAAUGCGAAAGAUUCAGGAUACCUUCGGGACCCGUCUUGAAACACGGACCAAGGAGUCUAACAUAUGUGCAAGUUAUUGGGAUAUAAACCUAAUAGCGUAAUUAACUUGACUAAUAAUGGGAUUAGUUUUUUAACUAUUUAUAGCUAAUUAACACAAUCCCGGGGCGUUCUAUAUAGUUAUGUAUAAUGAUAUUUAUAUUAUUUAUGCCUCUAACUGGAACGUACCUUGAGCAUAUAUGCUGUGACCCGAAAGAUGGUGAACUAUACUUGAUCAGGUUGAAGUCAGGGGAAACCCUGAUGGAAGACCGAAACAGUUCUGACGUGCAAAUCGAUUGUCAGAAUUGAGUAUAGGGGCGAAAGACCAAUCGAACCAUCUAGUAGCUGGUUCCUUCCGAAGUUUCCCUCAGGAUAGCUGGUGCAUUUUAAUAUUAUAUAAAAUAAUCUUAUCUGGUAAAGCGAAUGAUUAGAGGCCUUAGGGUCGAAACGAUCUUAACCUAUUCUCAAACUUUAAAUGGGUAAGAACCUUAACUUUCUUGAUAUGAAGUUCAAGGUUAUGAUAUAAUGUGCCCAGUGGGCCACUUUUGGUAAGCAGAACUGGCGCUGUGGGAUGAACCAAACGUAAUGUUACGGUGCCCAAAUUAACAACUCAUGCAGAUACCAUGAAAGGCGUUGGUUGCUUAAAACAGCAGGACGGUGAUCAUGGAAGUCGAAAUCCGCUAAGGAGUGUGUAACAACUCACCUGCCGAAGCAACUAGCCCUUAAAAUGGAUGGCGCUUAAGUUGUAUACCUAUACAUUACCGCUAAAGUAGAUGAUUUAUAUUACUUGUAAUAUAAAUUUUGAAACUUUAGUGAGUAGGAAGGUACAAUGGUAUGCGUAGAAGUGUUUGGCGUAAGCCUGCAUGGAGCUGCCAUUGGUACAGAUCUUGGUGGUAGUAGCAAAUAAUCGAAUGAGACCUUGGAGGACUGAAGUGGAGAAGGGUUUCGUGUGAACAGUGGUUGAUCACGAGUUAGUCGGUCCUAAGUUCAAGGCGAAAGCCGAAAAUUUUCAAGUAAAAUACAAAUGCCAAACAAAUAUAUAUAUUAUAUAAAAUCUAGCUAAAUUAAUAUACUUGAAUAAUUUUGAACGAAAGGGAAUACGGUUCCAAUUCCGUAACCUGUUGAGUAUCCGUUUGUUAUUAAAUAUGGGCCUCGUGCUCAUCCUGGCAACAGGAACGACCAUAAAGAAGCCGUCGAGAGAUAUCGGAAGAGUUUUCUUUUCUGUUUUAUAGCCGUACUACCAUGGAAGUCUUUCGCAGAGAGAUAUGGUAGAUGGGCUAGAAGAGCAUGACAUAUACUGUUGUGUCGAUAUUUUCUCCUCGGACCUUGAAAAUUUAUGGUGGGGACACGCAAACUUCUCAACAGGCCGUACCAAUAUCCGCAGCUGGUCUCCAAGGUGAAGAGUCUCUAGUCGAUAGAAUAAUGUAGGUAAGGGAAGUCGGCAAAUUAGAUCCGUAACUUCGGGAUAAGGAUUGGCUCUGAAGAUUGAGAUAGUCGGGCUUGAUUGGGAAACAAUAACAUGGUUUAUGUGCUCGUUCUGGGUAAAUAGAGUUUCUAGCAUUUAUGUUAGUUACUUGUUCCCCGGAUAGUUUAGUUACGUAGCCAAUUGUGGAACUUUCUUGCUAAAAUUUUUAAGAAUACUAAUUGGGUUAAACCAAUUAGUUCUUAUUAAUUAUAACGAUUAUCAAUUAACAAUCAAUUCAGAACUGGCACGGACUUGGGGAAUCCGACUGUCUAAUUAAAACAAAGCAUUGUGAUGGCCCUAGCGGGUGUUGACACAAUGUGAUUUCUGCCCAGUGCUCUGAAUGUCAAAGUGAAGAAAUUCAAGUAAGCGCGGGUCAACGGCGGGAGUAACUAUGACUCUCUUAAGGUAGCCAAAUGCCUCGUCAUCUAAUUAGUGACGCGCAUGAAUGGAUUAACGAGAUUCCUACUGUCCCUAUCUACUAUCUAGCGAAACCACAGCCAAGGGAACGGGCUUGGAAUAAUUAGCGGGGAAAGAAGACCCUUUUGAGCUUGACUCUAAUCUGGCAGUGUAAGGAGACAUAAGAGGUGUAGAAUAAGUGGGAGAUAUUAGACCUCGGUUUGGUAUCGCCAAUGAAAUACCACUACUCUUAUUGUUUCCUUACUUACUUGAUUAAAUGGAACGUGUAUCAUUUCCUAGCCAUUAUACGGAUAUAUUUAUUAUAUCUUAUGGUAUUGGGUUUUGAUGCAAGCUUCUUGAUCAAAGUAUCACGAGUUUGUUAUAUAAUCGCAAACAAAUUCUUUAAUAAAACGGUGCAUUUAUGUAUUUUUGAUUUGAAAAUUUGGUAUAACUCCAAUUACUCAGGUAUGAUCCAAUUCAAGGACAUUGCCAGGUAGGGAGUUUGACUGGGGCGGUACAUCUCUCAAAUAAUAACGGAGGUGUCCCAAGGCCAGCUCAGUGCGGACAGAAACCACACAUAGAGCAAAAGGGCAAAUGCUGACUUGAUCUCGGUGUUCAGUACACACAGGGACAGCAAAAGCUCGGCCUAUCGAUCCUUUUGGUUUAAAGAGUUUUUAACAAGAGGUGUCAGAAAAGUUACCAUAGGGAUAACUGGCUUGUGGCGGCCAAGCGUUCAUAGCGACGUCGCUUUUUGAUCCUUCGAUGUCGGCUCUUCCUAUCAUUGUGAAGCAAAAUUCACCAAGCGUUGGAUUGUUCACCCAUGCAAGGGAACGUGAGCUGGGUUUAGACCGUCGUGAGACAGGUUAGUUUUACCCUACUAAUGACAAAACGUUGUUGCGACAGCAUUCCUGCGUAGUACGAGAGGAACCGCAGGUACGGACCAAUGGCACAAUACUUGUUCGAGCGAACAGUGGUAUGACGCUACGUCCGUUGGAUUAUGCCUGAACGCCUCUAAGGUCGUAUCCGUGCUGGACUGCAAUGAUAAAUAAGGGGCAAUGUGCAUUGUAUGGCUUCUAAACCAUUUAAAGUUUAUAAUUUACUUUUUAAACGACAAUGGAUGUGAUGCCAAUGUAAUUUGUAACAUAGUAAAUUGGGAGGAUCUUUGAUCACCUGAUGCCGCGCUAGUUACAUAUAAAAGCAUUAUUUAAUACAAUGACAAAGCCUAGAAUCAAUUGUAAACGACUUUUGUAACAGGCAAGGUGUUGUAAGUGGUUGAGCAGCUGCCAUACUGCGAUCCACUGAAGCUUAUCCUUUGCUUGAUGAUUCGA